Molecule: long non-coding RNA, 1120 nt
Filed under: Mus spicilegus (steppe mouse)
Lineage: Eukaryota; Metazoa; Chordata; Mammalia; Rodentia; Muridae
Description: lncRNA (ENSMSIG00000027668.1)
Source: RNAcentral
AGCCAAGAACCGGGGCGUGCGCAGUCGGUGGCGCCGUUGCAGUCCAGCCUGCGGGUUGGGGGGUGUGGUGUUCUAGGGAGAGCCGGGAACCUGGAUGGAGAAAACGUCUAAAAGAUCCUUUGCCCCUUGUUCAUGUGGAUGGAGAAUACCGCAACCCGUGACGAUUUCAGCAACGCUUCAUUCCCGUAAAAAGAAACAAGCGCAGAGGCUGAAGAAACCGCUGGUGAAUACCCAUUCCCUUCUCUUUGUGAGCCUGUAGCCAUGGGAACUGCAGCCAAGUACACAAUAACAUCUCCAUGAACGAAUCCUCAGGGAACAAAGUUCAUUUUAAUACAGCUGGCCUCAACACAGAAGAAUCCGGGGGACGCCAGGCUUGGCAGCCUUGUGCUGCCUCCUGGCUUCAAGCUGCCUCUGGAGGAGGAGAAAGUGGAACUAUCGCAGGCCUGCCAGUUGCUGAGGAAUUGAGUCAAUUUUGAGAUUCAACAGAGCCAGGAGAUUCUAGGCGAAUCUGCGAAGAGUCUUCUACAGGGCUUCUCUGAAGCUUCUACUCCAAGACAGCUCAGGGUUUCAAAGCAGGGAGAGAAAAUCAACAAAAAGCCUACAGAGUAUCCCUCAUCGCAGUCACCAGAUAUGCUCAGGCGUCUCAAGCAUCUCAAAACAGGCUGUUGGCUUAACGCCCCCGAGGGCCCUACACUACACCCCUUGGACAAGUGCUUUCUCCCAGGGGAGUAAACAGACUUCUGUGGGGCAGGCUUCACACAGCAGGUUGCCGUAGGAUAGGAUGCAGCCUACACCCAAGACAUAACCCCAGCCUGACACUUCUUCUUUUAUUGCUUAGCUGUUAUUUAUGUUUGUCUGUUUUUGAGUCAGGAUCUAUCUUAGUAUGUGGCCCUGGUUGGCCUAGAAUUCACUGUGUAGACCAGGCUGGCCUCAGACUGCUGGAUUAAAUUCUCUGCUGGGAUUAAAGGUGUGUACCAACAUGCCUGGCUUCUUUUAUUGCUUAAGAUUAUUUAGUAAUUAUUGAAAAGAUUUAAGAGUAAGAAUAUCUAAUGUCCACUAAGGUUUCCUCAUACCUCCAAUCCUUAUUCUCCCCCACAAGCAACCAUUGACCAAAAUUUUU